Molecule: ribosomal RNA, 465 nt
Filed under: uncultured bacterium
Lineage: Bacteria
Description: partial 16S ribosomal RNA
Rfam family: Bacterial small subunit ribosomal RNA
Source: RNAcentral
AAUGAACGUUGGCGGCGUGGCUUAGGCAUGCAAGUCGAGCGAGAACCCCGCAAGGGGGGACAGCGGCGAAAGGGACAGUAAUGUGUAGAUUAUCUGCCCUCAGGUCCGGGAUAGCUGCGGGAAACUGCAGGUAAUACCGGAUAACAUCUCCGGAUCAAAGGUGUGAUUCCGCCUGAGGAUGAGUCUGCAUCCUAUUAGCUAGUUGGUGGGGUAAUGGCCUACCAAGGCAUUGAUGGGUAGCAGGUGUGAGAGCACGACCUGCGUCAUUGGGACUGAGACACUGCCCAGACACCUACGGGUGGCUGCAGUCGAGAAUCUUCGGCAAUGGGCGCAAGCCUGACCGAGCGACGCCGCGUGUGGGAUGAAGGCCUUCGGGUUGUAAACCACUGUCAGAGGGGAUGAAAUGCAGGUGGGUUCUCCCAUCUGUUUGACAUAGCCUCAGAGGAAGAACGGGCUAAGUUCGUG